GUUUACUAGUCUGAAGCUUGGUUUCAAAUGUGCACGUUGUGAUUUUCUUCAUUACCAAGACAGACAGACAGACAGACAGACAGACAGACAGACAGACAGACAGACAGACAAACGGACGGACGGACAGGCAGACAGACAGACAGACAGAGUGAUGUCAUUUUAAGAGAAAUGCAAAUUGCUGAGAUAUAGAUAGAUAGAUAGAUAGAUAGAUAGAUAGAUAGAUAGAUAGAUAGAUAGAUAGAUAGAUAGAUAGAUAGAUAGAUAGAUACUUUAUGAAAUAAAUACUCUUAUUACACCAACAAAGAGCAAGAAUAAAUUCAACUAAACCCAAAUCAAUAAAAGAACAUAUAUAGAGAUGGAGAUAUAUUUUACAAUUUAUGACUUGAUUGCAAUAUAUCAUUUAUUGCACAGUAAAAAUAACUAAUAUGUUUCUUAUAAAAUAGGAUGUGACUUUUGCGUUUUUAGUCUGUCUAAAAGGUAGAUAUUGAUUUAUUUGGUUACUGACUUUUCAGGAUCGGUUCAGGUUUAGUGGAGAUGCCUGGUUACUCCAAUGUCUUUGAUUAGUUCUUAGCAGGAUAAAGUUGUUGGAAAAAAAAGAGAGAAAAGAAUUCGGUAAGCUGAGGGUGUGGGUAAAAGUAGAAGACUGCAGGCUGCGGCGCGCUUUGGUGUUGUGCGUAAAGGCGCAAGCUAAAGCACUCCGGAAAACACUCCUGUGCGUUCAGCGCGCGUGUGAUUGUUCGGAAAAGUGAUUAUUUAGAAAAGGAAAACGAAAGUCAAAUCCACAGAGAUAUACGCCGGAUGCUGUGCAUAUUAAACCGCAGGUGUGGUAAUGGGGUGCACAUGGAGGUGAAUUGCAAACAAAUAAAAUAAUAAUAAUAUUAAAUAAUAAUAAAUAAUAAAUAUAUAUUAAAUGCAGUAUUCAAAUGAUUGCCAUUGUUGAUUGAUAGUAUUGUGCUAUUAUUUUUUUAAAAGAAAAUAUAUUAGUGUGGGUGGUUGUGUAAAACUGUGUUUGUGUGUGUGUGUGUGUGUGUGUGUGUGUGUGUGUGUGUGUGUGUGUGUGUGUGUGUAAAGAAAAGCAUCAGAACUGUGCUUUUGGACCGUCGUUCAGUGUGUGUGUGUGUGUGUGUGUGUGUGUGUGUGUAAAAGAGAGAAAUAAAUUGAGAGAUGAAAGGUGAAAGGUUUCUAUUCAGUCAAAAGGCAGUCAGUAUGCUCACAUACACGUACAUCCAGUUACACGAGACACAAAGGACAUAAAAAGAGUGUGAGUGCGAGAGUGUGUAUACGCAUCUCUGUGGAACGCUUGAGUCAGAGCGAAUCAAGAGACGUCCAGACAAAGUGCAUUAAAUUCUAACCACCGAGUCACACUCUCAAAACUGCAUACAAGUGCAAUUUACUAAGUGCUAUUUAAAAGAAAAAGAAAUGAAUUCGACAGAAAAGUAGGAAAGAAAAUGCAGGAAAGAGUGUGCGUGUGUUCCAUUUCUAUUUCAACUCUAAAUUAUUUUAAUACUACGGCUCGCCCUGUGAAAUGAAGUAAUGAUAUCAAACCAGGCAGAUUUCUUAUACACUGGUCUGCUCACUAACUCUCGUAACUCUUGAGCAAGUUCUACAGACUUGAAAUGACUGUAGAGUUUUAUUUUAUUAUUAUUUCUGGAUUUUGCAAACCUAGGGAAUUUUAGGGUUAGGACUAUAGAGCUAAGAGUGCAGGGGAGCAUUUGGGCUACAAGCACUUAUUAAGAAAGGAAAGAGAGGAAUGGGGCACGGAAGGAGGGAAUGAUAGAGCGGGAAAAUGGGAGGGACAAAACAUUCCGUGCUCAUGCUCAUGCUCAUUUUUUUUAUAAGUUUCUAUUGUUAACACCAUCUAUUAAUAUGGAGGACUUUGUUGCAAAAAAGUCUUUGUCUUUUAUUUGUACAAAAGAAAACAGAUUAUAUGCAUGGUUUACUCUUUUCUCGCCUUUUCUUGCCUGUAUUUAUUUUGUUUGCGAAAGACGGCCAGCUCGUCAAAGGGCUCGGACACAUUCACAGACUGGGCUUUUCCGCUAACUUUGCCCAUAGGCAACCAUUUGCGACAAAUGGAGAAUUAUAUAAAUAUAUAAACAAAUAUAUAUAUAUAUAUAUAUAUAUAUAUAUAUAUAUAUAUAUAUAUAUAUAUAUAUAUAUAUACAUUCACAAAAUACAAAACUAAUAUUUUGAAGUGUUUUUAUCCAAUAGAUUUUUUCAAAUCUUGUGGUACAAGUUGUGCAUUUGUUUGUUUUUUGUUUGUUUGUUAGUUUGUUUUUUGUUUUUUCUUUGUGGUUUUUUUUUCUCAAAGAAAAAACAAGAUUACAAAAAAAAUGUCUCUUUUUGAUUUGUUUGGAUUACUUUUUUUUCUCUUCGGUUCACUGGAGGCUCUGUUCAGCACUUUGAAAUCAUAAAGAAAAAAAUGAUUA
Molecule: long non-coding RNA, 2426 nt
Organism: Silurus meridionalis
Lineage: Eukaryota; Metazoa; Chordata; Actinopteri; Siluriformes; Siluridae
Exons: 2
Source: RefSeq, a predicted model, not a curated record